Molecule: long non-coding RNA, 1409 nt
Organism: Astatotilapia calliptera (eastern happy)
Lineage: Eukaryota; Metazoa; Chordata; Actinopteri; Cichliformes; Cichlidae
Source: Ensembl
GAAACACUUGGUCACUCUACCCAAUUUUUCACAGUGCUACUGGUAAUGAAGCUGCGUUGCUAAGGCAACAGAUUACAAAAACUCUUGGUCCUUCAGGCUGGACGUCUCUUUAACAAAACUAGGAACUUUUAUUCUGCUGCAUUCUCUAAUAUCAAAGCCAACUUUGUUGUGCUUUCUAUUUAUCUGGAGGUUUUGUGUAAUGGGCAUAAGAUGAUAUAUUUUAAAAGCCCGCUUGUUUUUGCAAUUUAGCAUCAUUUUGUACUACUGUGUAAAGUUUUUUUUUUUCCUUUUGUUCCUCUGUUCAGUCUAAUCUUGCUGUAAACCCUUUUAAUGAUUUCUAUUUUUGUCAUGUGUUUAAAGCUAGGAGCUACUUAUUAGCUGGCUGAUUUGGGAGGGGUUGUGGUUGUAUAUAGGUGUUUGUAGGGGAGGAGGAAGUGUGUCAGGGGGGGCACUUGGUGGCACAGUUUUUACCUCGUUAAGUGUACAUAAAUCUUUCUCAUUGGCCGUUGGUUGUACAUAAGUGAUUAUGAUUGGUCGUGCUGGUGUGAAGGAAAGCCAAUGAAGCCUCAGUUCAUGUGUGUGAAUCUUUAGGACCAGACAAUAAGGUUGACAGUGACUGGACACAAAAGUAUUAAUUUAUUUUUAUAUGUGCAGGGACAUUGUGUUUCUUUUUUUUCUUUUUUUCUUUUUUUUAAUGUUUUGCACCAUUUUCUUGAUGGAAAGUCAUUUUAUACUCUGGGCACCAUAUUUUCAUCUGUGCACACAUUUUGUUGGAUAAAUUUUCUAAGAGUGUAAAAAAAUUGGUGGGGGAUUGACAAUGUAUUUAAAAAAAAAAAAAGAAAAUUAAAGAAACACUCUGGUUAAGUAAGAGCAGCGUUUGGUGUUUGUAUCAAAGUAUCAGUAAAAAAAUCACAAAAUCACGCAUGCUGUAAAUGUGUUUGCUUUUACCGUGACGCUGAUCUGUACACUGAAAAAAAGGGACUGGCCAUCUCUUGGAUUUAUGUAAGCAUCUUGCAUGUAUUUAACACAAUUACCUCAUGUUUUAAAGAUAAAUGUAACUAUAUAGUGUAAAAACUACAUGAUAUGCAGAAAGGGUGUAUUAAAUUGUUCAUAUCAUGUUCAGGUGAAGUAAGUCAAUAAGAUAGCAACGUUAAAUCUCGUGAAACCACGCGUGAUUUCAUCUCGCGGGCUUUGGAUUGUGGUUCAAAAAAGGCAUCCAUCUCAGUCAAGUCGAGCAGCCAACUCUACGUUUUUGGAGUCAGCUGAUGGAUUGUGGGUUCAAGGUGUUAUGAUAAAAUGCAGCAUUCCAGUGCAUCCCAACCAUGCCUUUACAGUCAAGGUUUCUGACGGAGCUGAGUUUCUCUCUGACAGUCUGCUGAAAGUGUUUGCAAAGUGAUCGGGGGAACAGU